Schistocerca americana (American grasshopper) is the source of this 826-nucleotide long non-coding RNA. RefSeq lists it as uncharacterized. The transcript is spliced from 3 exons. The record is from RefSeq and is a predicted model, not a curated record. Lineage: Eukaryota; Metazoa; Arthropoda; Insecta; Orthoptera; Acrididae.
GCAGAGAAUUCAGAGAAACAACAGGUAGUGUGAUCAGUACAGACUGGAUUAUAUACAUUUGCAUGUUGCAUAUGCAUUUGCAUAUUUGGCUCCUUUUCGCCAGUUAUUGCAUAUUUUAACUAAAAACUAUUGACGAUGCAUAUUUUCGCUCUAUGAUUACAAUAUUUUAAAAACUUAGACAGGCGGUCUAUAGCUCGAUCUAGUUUUGAUAUCUCACAGAGUGACAGCUACCUAGAACUGCGUGCAUUCGCUGAGAGGCCACUGCCUAGCAAAAUCAUUAUAGAAGCCCCCGCUCCACUGUCAUACUGUACGCAUCGGCAACAAUUAAAUUAAACUACGCAAGCUUUUAGUCGCAUGUCCAUAGUUUCAGUUUAGCUUUCUAUUUACUUGUACACUGUUGAACAUGUUUAUGACGUGUAGUGUGUAACGUGUUGUGCGCCAUGCCAUCCAGAAAAAGAAACGUCGUUUCCUGCGUAGCUGGCCAUCCUGGAACAUGUACGUAUGACAGAAUUGUCUUAUAUUGUCGAGUUUGUGAGAAAAAUGUUUCGUGCAAAAAAAGUUUCAAAUAGAUCAUGUUAAGACAAGUUUUCCUAUCCCAGGAAUGCAGAAGAAAGGACCACGACAACAACUUCUUGACAACAGCAAGUUGCAGUAGCAGGGAUUUGCCCAAAGUUGACGAAACUGCAGACACUUGUGGCCAUUACACUGCAAAUUUAAUUGUUGGUGCUUCAAAAGAAGAGCCUUCUUGUUCCUAUUUAGUGGCCUGCGAAGAACUUGAAAAAAUGCUGCUCCCUAUAUGAUCAAAGCAGGAAAAGCCCUCCGAGUA